UGGCGAAGUCGGAGGAAUUCCGCGAAUAC
Molecule: non-coding RNA, 29 nt
Filed under: Bombyx mori (domestic silkworm)
Lineage: Eukaryota; Metazoa; Arthropoda; Insecta; Lepidoptera; Bombycidae
Source: RNAcentral